Molecule: ribosomal RNA, 423 nt
Filed under: Saloptia powelli
Lineage: Eukaryota; Metazoa; Chordata; Actinopteri; Perciformes; Serranidae
Description: partial 12S ribosomal RNA
Rfam family: Bacterial small subunit ribosomal RNA
Source: RNAcentral
GAUUAGAUACCCCACUAUGCUUUGCCCUAAACAUUGGUAGUACGCUACACUACUAUCCGCCCGGGAACUACGAGCAUUAGCUUGAAACCCAAAGGACUUGGCGGUGCUUUAGAUCCACCUAGAGGAGCCUGUUCUAAAACCGAUAAUCCCCGUUAAACCUCACCUUUUCUUGUUCUCCCCGCCUAUAUACCGCCGUCGUCAGCUUACCCCCUGAGGGGCCCAUAGUAAGCACAAUUGGCAUAGCCCAAAACGUCAGGUCGAGGUGUAGCGUAUGAAAAGGGAAGAAAUGGGCUACAUUCUCUACCACAGUGCAUACGGAAAAUCACACUGAAACGUGUAUCUUGAAGGAGGAUUUAGUAGUAAGCAGGAAAUAGAGCGUCCUGCUGAAAUUGGCCCUGAAGCGCGCACACACCGCCCGUCACC